Molecule: ribosomal RNA, 433 nt
Filed under: uncultured bacterium
Lineage: Bacteria
Description: partial 16S ribosomal RNA
Rfam family: Bacterial small subunit ribosomal RNA
Source: RNAcentral
AACGAACGCUGGCGGCAUGCCUAACACAUGCAAGUCGAACGAGAGCUCCGGGACUAGUGGCGCUUGGGUGCGUCACGCGUGGGAACCUGCACUUAGGUAUGGAAUACCUCUCCGACAGGGGUGAUAAUGCCGGAUAAUGUCUUCUGACCAAAGAUUUAUCGCAUUUGUAUGGGCGCGCGUUGGAUUAGCUAGUUGGUAGGGUAAUAGCCUAUCAAGGCGUCGAUCCAUAGCUGGUUUGAGAGGAUGAUCAGCAACACUUGGACUAAGACACGGCCCAGACUCUUACGCGAGGCGGGAGUGGGUAAUAUUGGACAAUGGGGGAAGUGCUGAUCCAGCAAGGCCGCGUAAGUGAUGAUGUUCGUAGAGAUGAAAAGCUCUUUUACCCGGGAUGAUAAUGACAGUACCGGGAGAAUAAGCUCCGGCUAACUCCGUG